GCCCGUGAAGUGAGAGGGUCUGGAGCUGGACAGGAAGAGCAAGUGGACGCUAGCUGGGUCUGGCUGCUCCUCCUCAACCUCUCCUUGGCUCUCUCUCGCAUGCUACAGGCAUAGCUGGCAUGCUCUAUGAAAUGAGCGGGUUGCUCAGCCAAGUGGCCCUCCCUCUUUUCCUGCUGUUUCUGUUGCCGGUGGUUUGCUACUGCUUCACAGUGGCCAUGGGGAAGCCCCAGGAAAGAAGACCAAAGAAGCACCAACGCAAUGGCAAGAAGAGACAUGCCAGAGGUGAGCAGCCCCUGGGCAAUGGCAGAUGCCUUGCAAAGACACCCUCUGACCCCAUAUGCCCACCAUCCUGUCCGGGGAUGUUCCAUCCACUCACUCUCUAUCCUCUGCAACCAGGCUUUGUCUUCCUGAAGUCUUCACAUCUAUCAAGGAAAUGGUAAGUGGAGCCAACCCUCCUCGAACACAACAGACCCCUCCAGUAUUCUCCUGCCAUGGGAGGUCCUACUGACAGUGCCCUCUGCUCCUCUGCAGCUGCUCCGUAGACCUGGAGAUGAAGGCCAUAUAUAAAACAAUCUGUCAGAUCAUAAGAAUCACGGAGGGCAUAACCGCAUACCUAGACACGCUAGAUUGUGGGAUGUCUGAGAGGAGCAACAGCUCCUGGACUACCAUCACAGACAGUGAAGAUGAGUCCUGUUCAAAGGUUUCUGUGUCUCCUUUGAGUGACAGCUCGUGGCUUUCCAUC
Molecule: long non-coding RNA, 742 nt
Organism: Pezoporus occidentalis (night parrot)
Lineage: Eukaryota; Metazoa; Chordata; Aves; Psittaciformes; Psittacidae
Exons: 3
Source: RefSeq, a predicted model, not a curated record